GACGAACGCUGGCGGCGUGCUUAACACAUGCAAGUCGAGCGGUAAGGCCCUUUUGGGGGUACACGAGCGGCGAACGGGUGAGUAACACGUGGGUGACCUGCCCUCAGCUCUGGGAUAAGCCUGGGAAACUGGGUCUAAUACUGGAUAUGACCUUUCCUCGCAUGGGGUUGGGUGGAAAGUUUUUCGGCUGGGGAUGGGCCCGCGGCCUAUCAGCUUGUUGGUGGGGUGAUGGCCUACCAAGGCGACGACGGGUAGCCGGCCUGAGAGGGCGACCGGCCACACUGGGACUGAGACACGGCCCAGACUCCUACGGGAGGCAGCAGGUGGGGAAUAUUGCGCAAUGGGCGGAAGCCUGACGCAGCGACGCCGCGUGGGGAUGAC
This 381-nucleotide ribosomal RNA is filed under the name uncultured bacterium. Its description in RNAcentral is "bacterial SSU rRNA". It matches the Rfam family "Bacterial small subunit ribosomal RNA", at positions 28 to 412 of the family's 1533-position model. The record is from RNAcentral.